GACGAACGCUGGCGGCGUGCUUAACACAUGCAAGUCGAACGGAAAGGCCUCUUUCGGGGGGUACUCGAGUGGCGAACGGGUGAGUAACACGUGAGUAACCUGCCCUUGACUUUGGGAUAACUUCAGGAAACUGGGGCUAAUACCGGAUAGGAGCUCCUUCUGCAUGGUGGGGGUUGGAAAGUUUCGGCGGUUGGGGAUGGACUCGCGGCUUAUCAGCUUGUUGGUGGGGUAGUGGCUUACCAAGGCUUUGACGGGUAGCCGGCCUGAGAGGGUGACCGGCCACAUUGGGACUGAGAUACGGCCCAGACUCCUACGGGAGGCAGCAGUGGGGAAGAUUGCACAAUGGGUGGAAGCCUGAUGCAGCAACGCCGUGUGCGGGAUGACGGCCUUCGGGUUGUAAACCGCUUUCGCUCAUGACGAAGCUUUGUGUGACGGUAGUGGGUAAAGAAGCACCGGCUAACUACGUG
Molecule: ribosomal RNA, 467 nt
Filed under: uncultured bacterium
Lineage: Bacteria
Description: partial 16S ribosomal RNA
Rfam family: Bacterial small subunit ribosomal RNA
Source: RNAcentral